AGCGGGGUGGAGAAGUCAGGAGUUCUCACCAGACUCAUUAUCUGGAAAUCGGUGGUUCAAAUCCACCUCCCGCUU
RNAcentral lists this transfer RNA (75 nucleotides) under Aeromonas phage CC2. It matches the Rfam family "tRNA". Rfam says of the family: Transfer RNA (tRNA) molecules are approximately 80 nucleotides in length. The record is from Rfam by way of RNAcentral. Lineage: Duplodnaviria; Heunggongvirae; Uroviricota; Caudoviricetes; Pantevenvirales; Straboviridae.